GACGAACGCUGGCGGCGUGCUUAACACAUGCAAGUCGAGCGGUAAGGCCCUUUCGGGGGUACGACGAGCGGCGAACGGGUGAGUAACACGUGGGUGACCUGCCCUCAGCUCUGGGAUAAGCCUGGGAAACCGGGUCUAAUACCGGAUAUGACUCCAUGACGCAUGUUGUGGGGUGGAAAGCCUUGUGCGGCUGAGGAUGGGCCCGCGGCCUAUCAGCUUGUUGGUGGGGUGAUGGCCUACCAAGGCGACGACGGGUAGCCGGCCUGAGAGGGCGACCGGCCACACUGGGACUGAGACACGGCCCAGACUCCUACGGGAGGCAGCAGUGGGGAAUCUUGCGCAAUGGGCGAAAGCCUGACGCAGCGACGCCGCGUGAGGGAUGACGGCC
RNAcentral lists this ribosomal RNA (388 nucleotides) under uncultured bacterium. Its description in RNAcentral is "bacterial SSU rRNA". It matches the Rfam family "Bacterial small subunit ribosomal RNA", at positions 28 to 416 of the family's 1533-position model. The record is from RNAcentral.